UUUUCUUAAGAAAUUGUAAUACUUAACUUUUAAU
Molecule: small RNA, 34 nt
Filed under: Arabidopsis thaliana (thale cress)
Lineage: Eukaryota; Viridiplantae; Streptophyta; Magnoliopsida; Brassicales; Brassicaceae
Description: ATSL282360
Source: RNAcentral